Streptomyces fradiae is the source of this 82-nucleotide non-coding RNA. Lineage: Bacteria; Bacillati; Actinomycetota; Actinomycetes; Kitasatosporales; Streptomycetaceae. The record is from Rfam.
GCGCGAGUGCCGGAACAGGUAUACGGAACGGUUUUAGGUACCGUCGUCUUCGGACAUGGGGGUUCGAGUCCCCCCUCGCGCA